Long non-coding RNA from Canis lupus familiaris (dog), 1540 nucleotides. RefSeq lists it as uncharacterized. The record is from RefSeq and is a predicted model, not a curated record. The transcript has 4 exons. Lineage: Eukaryota; Metazoa; Chordata; Mammalia; Carnivora; Canidae.
GUCUGUCUGCGCAGGCGCGAGGCAGGAGUUAAGUUCUAACUGGUCCUUGUGACUGAGCGGGCUGGAGGUCUUGUCAGGGCCGCAGCUUUUCCUGGAGGGACGGUUUUCCCUUUCCCCUCGCCUGAGUUAAGAGGAUAAAGCAUCCUGAUGCUGAGCAUCACCAAGACACAGAGGAUGACGUGAACAGUUAGGACACAGGACUGCUAGGCUAUGGAUGGUGCAGGAAACCAGAUGUCAUGAGCUUAACAGAAUCUGCAAUUACAUCUGACACCUUGAUGCCUUCCUUUCCUUUGGAACUUUCUUUCUUCUGUGGCAGCAGUCAGAAGCUUCCCCAAGGAGGGUGGAUGCUGAGAUAGUCUCUCCAUGCUCACUUGGAGGCCUCAGAUUCCAGAGAACAGAGCUACAAGACAGAAGAGGGUGGCCUGGUCUGCUUCAGACAUGUGAUGUGAAUGAGAAAGAAUCUUCUAAUGUCAGCGUCACAAAAGACAAAGCCUGUGGCAAUAUUUCAGAUUAAAAGAGGCAACUAAUUGCAGUAUUCACCCCUAGAAUGGAUCAUAUACGAGAAGGGGGAUAAUGCUACAAGAAACAUACUAAGAUCAACUGAUGAAAUUAAAAUAUGAAUAUGAGAGGAGAUUUUAAGAAGUAUUAGUGUUAUCUGUAAAGAUGACAAUUGUAACUAUAGUUACAUAGGAGACCUCUCUAUUCUUAGGGCAUAUACACCUAAGUAUUUAGGGACAAAGAACCACAUGUUAUGUAAGUUAAAUGCAAAUGGGGUAAAAUGUUAACAAUGAGUAAAUCUGGAUAAAAGAUAUUUGGAUGUUCCUUGUACUAUUUUUAGUUUUGCAACUUUUUGUAAGCUUGAAAUAAUUUCCAAAUUGUUAAAAAAUAAAAUGUUAUUAAGUCACUAAGGUGUCAGAGUUUACUGUUGCCACAUCAUUGCCCAUAUUUUCUUGACCAGUACAGAUGGAAUUGAGAAGAUGUUGCAGGGCUAGCAAAUUAAUUGAGAGGAUAAGGAAAGAGUUCCUAGAAGAAGAUUGUUUGAAAAAUAAGGAGGAAUUAAACAAGUGAAGAGGGAGGAGUAUUCCAAGCAGAGGAACUAUAUAUGAAAGCCAGUAGCGAGAGAGUAUGGUACAUUCACAGAAUAGAAAGAAUUCAGCAUGGCUAGGAUGUAGAGCUUGAGCAGGGAAGAGAUUAGAAAUGAAGCUGGAGAUGUAGGCAGGUCCAAGUUCCAAAGGGACAUUGAAGCUGUGUUAUGGUGUUUGGAUUUUAUACUAAGGGCAGUGGAAAACCAUGAAGGGUUUUAAGCAAGAGAGUGCCUUAAUGGUUACAUUUUAAAAUGGACUGGAAGGGAAUAACAGUAUUUCAGGAAAGGUCAGUGGGGUAAUGGCCAGAGGGAUGGAGAGAUGUGGGAGAUUUGAGGUUUGAAAGCUGGUUAGGAAAUGAAGUCUGUUGUCCUAGGUGAUGAGAUAAGCUUCUGCGGUGCCAAUGGAAAUAGGUUCUUGCCACUCUUGUGUCUCAGUUUCUGUCCUAGCUCUCUGGG